RNAcentral lists this ribosomal RNA (1367 nucleotides) under Milichus apicalis. RNAcentral's name for it is "16S ribosomal RNA". The record is from RNAcentral. Lineage: Eukaryota; Metazoa; Arthropoda; Insecta; Coleoptera; Scarabaeidae.
UGAUUAAAUUUAUUUUUAAAUAUUUUUUAAAUUAAAAUUUUUAUUAAAAAUACUUUUUUUUUUUUUAUUUAUAUAGAUAAAAUUUUUAUUAAUUAUAGUGAAGUAUAGUAUAGUGAUAGAACAUUGAAAUAGUGAUUUGAAAAUAAAUAUUUUUAAAAGAAAAUUUAAUUAAUUGUACCUUGUGUAUCAGGGUUUAUUAAAUUAAAAUUAUUAAUUUUAAUAUUCUCGAAUUUAAAAGAGCUAAAAAAAUUAUAAAUUUUAUUGUGAAAUAAAUAUUUAAAAUAAUUUUUUAGUAAUGAAACGUUAUUCGUUUUUAAAUUUAUCUAGUUUUUUAAGAAAUAAAUUUAAUUUAGUUAUCUAUUAUUUAUUUGAAUAAUUUAUUAUGAAAAUGAAAUAGAUAAUUAAUAUUUUAAGGGAUAAGCUUUAAAAUAAAAAUUUUAUAAAUAAUAUAUUAAUUAUAUAAAAUUUAUAGGAAUGGAAGUAUUUAUUAUUAUUAGUGUGUUAUAACAAAUUUUAUUGAUAAUAUAAUUUAUUUAUUAUUUUAAAUAUUUUAUUAAAAUAAUUAAUUUAAUAUUAAAAUUAAUGAAAUAAUGAUAAAAUUAGUAUAAAUUAAUUUUAAUAUAAUUUAUUAAAUAAAGGUUAAGUUAAGGAAUUCGGCAAAUAUUUUUUUCGCCUGUUUAUUAAAAACAUGUCCUUUUGAAAAUAAUUUAAGGUCCGGCCUGCCCUCUGAUGAAAAUUGAAUGGCCGCGAUAAUUUGAUCGUGCAAAGGUAGCAUAAUAAUUAGUUUCUUGAUUAGGAACUGGAAUGAAAGGUUAAACGAAAAAAAAACUGUCUCGAUUUAAUUUUAAUUAGAAUUUUAUUUUUAAGUAAAAAAGCUUAAAUAAAUUUAAAAGACGAGAAGACCCUAUAGAGUUUUAUAUUUAUUAUUUAAUUUUUUAGUUUAAGAAUUUAAUUUUAAAAUUAUUUAUAUAAAUAUUUAAUUGGGGUGAUUGAAAAAUUGAAUAAACUUUUUUUAAAAAUUAAACAUUGAUGUAUGAUUAAAUGAUCCAUAAAUAAUGAUUAUAAGAUUAAAUUACCUUAGGGAUAACAGCGUAAUUUUUUUUGAGAGUUCUUAUCGAAAAAAAAGUUUGCGACCUCGAUGUUGGAUUAAAAUUAAUUUUUGGUGCAGGAGUUAAAAAAUUAGGUCUGUUCGACCUUUAAAAUUUUACAUGAUCUGAGUUUAAACCGGUGUAAGCCAGGUUGGUUUCUAUCUUUAAAUAAAAUAAAUAUUUUAGUACGAAAGGAUUUAAUAUUUAUAAUAAUUAUUAAUUAAAGAUUUUUAUUAAAUUUAAAUUACUUUGGCAGAAUAGUGUUUUAAAUUUAGAAUU